AUACGGAGGACGCGAGCGUUAUCCGGAUUCAUUGGGUUUAAAGGGUGCGCAGGCGGCCGUGCAAGUCAGCGGUGAAAGCCCGGGGCUCAACCCCGGAAGUGCCGUUGAUACUGCAUGGCUGGAAUGCGGUCGAGGCGGGCGGGACGGGGCGGGGAGCGGUGGAGUGCGUAGAUAUGCCACAGAACAUCGAUAGCGGAGGCAGCUCGCCAGGCCUGCAUUGACGCUCGGGCACGAAAGCGGGGGGAUCGAACAGGAUUAGAUACCCUGGUAGUCCACGCCGUAAACGAUGGGCGCUCGUCGUCGGCGGCAGACAGUCGGCGGCCAAGCGAAAGCGAUAAGCGCCCCACCUGGGGAGUACGGUCGCAAGGCUGAAACUCAAAUGAAUUGACGGGG
Molecule: ribosomal RNA, 393 nt
Filed under: uncultured bacterium
Lineage: Bacteria
Description: partial 16S ribosomal RNA
Rfam family: Bacterial small subunit ribosomal RNA
Source: RNAcentral